UUUUAAUAAAAAAACAACAACCAAAAAACAAUCUAUAAACCAGGUCAUUAAAUGUUACAGGAUCACAUUAACAUUUAAAAGCACACUUGCACAUGUAGCAUACCCGAUCUACUCCAAAACACGUGAACUGAAAGAUAUAUUUAGAAUUCAUGUUACUGAGCAAUCACAUUUGAUCAUCAUUUGUGGGUUUUAUGGAGACAAAUGAUUCUUUGAGAGGUAUUUAACCUGCUCUUUGACCCACCCUCAUGGUCCCCCCUCUGUUUCACCGCCCACUCAACCUCCAAUGUCUUUGGAGUGACCACAAAUACUAAAAAGCUUAAACAGCUUUUGGCAGUCGCUGGGUCUAGGCAGUAGAGGAGCAUCAAGCACAGACUUGAACGCUGCUGGAAGGAUCUAUUACAUUGAAAAAAUUGGGAGAAGGCACAGUGUGACCAGACUGCUGCCUCAAAGGGAACAGAGCUGAAAGCACUGAGGACUGUGAGCAGAGCCUUCUGAAUCAGCUGAGCUCAAGAGGAUAUCAAGAUGUGGAAGAGGUCAAAGGUGACCGAUCAAUCUGCCUCUGGGCAGACGGCACUGAACAGGAAUCAUCCUGAGAUGUCAACCUCCAG
This is a long non-coding RNA of Scomber japonicus (chub mackerel), 608 nucleotides long. RefSeq lists it as uncharacterized. The transcript is spliced from 3 exons. NCBI's taxonomy places the organism in Eukaryota, Metazoa, Chordata, Actinopteri, Scombriformes, Scombridae. The record is from RefSeq and is a predicted model, not a curated record.